RNAcentral lists this ribosomal RNA (253 nucleotides) under uncultured bacterium. RNAcentral's name for it is "partial 16S ribosomal RNA". It matches the Rfam family "Bacterial small subunit ribosomal RNA", at positions 524 to 776 of the family's 1533-position model. The record is from RNAcentral.
UACAGAGGAGGCCAGCGUUAUUCGGAAUUAUUGGGCGUAAAGGGCGCGUAGGCGGCCAUGCGUGUCUUCCGUGAAAUCCCUCGGCUUAACUGAGGACGUGCGGAAGAAACUGCAAGGCUUGAGUCCGGGAGAGGGGGGUGGAAUUCCCAGUGUAGCGGUGAAAUGCGUAGAUAUUGGGAGGAACACCGGUGGCGAAGGCGGCCCCCUGGACCGGUACUGACGCUGAGGCGCGAAAGCGUGGGUAGCAAACGGG